UGCAUAGGAAACUGCCCGGUAGUGGGGAUAACCUGGGGAAACCCAGGCUAAUACCGCAUACGUCCUACGGGAGAAAGCAGGGGCUCUUCGGACCUUGCGCUAUCGGAUGUGCCUAUGUCGGAUUAGCUAGUUGGUGAGGUAACGGCUCACCAAGGCGACGAUCCGUAGCUGGUCUGAGAGGAUGAUCAGCCACACUGGGACUGAGACACGGCCCAGACUCCUACGGGAGGCAGCAGUGGGGAAUAUUGGACAAUGGGCGAAAAGCCUGAUCCAGCCAUGCCGCGUGUGUGAAGAAGGCUU
RNAcentral lists this ribosomal RNA (300 nucleotides) under uncultured Halomonadaceae bacterium. Its description in RNAcentral is "bacterial SSU rRNA". It matches the Rfam family "Bacterial small subunit ribosomal RNA", at positions 114 to 417 of the family's 1533-position model. Lineage: Bacteria; Pseudomonadati; Pseudomonadota; Gammaproteobacteria; Oceanospirillales; Halomonadaceae. The record is from RNAcentral.